GUUUUGUGAGUGCCCAUGUUGAUUGGAUAUCCAGUAUCAUUGUAAAGGGGAAUCGGAAAUAAUUUUCUGCAUAAAAUUGUUUCUAUGUGUAAAUGUAAUGUGACAUAAACAAAGAUAAAUAAAUCAAGCAUUAUUUAUCUGUGUAACUUAGAAAUUCACCCGAAUUAUUUAAGAUUUUGUCUUGUAUCAGCUAGUUGGGAAUAAGCUUCUAGGCUAUAUCUCCCUGUGGUAAAGUGUAAAAACGAUGUAUCAGAAAAUAGAGUAACGGAGACACAGGAAACGACUGGCUCGGUUGAGGAACUGACUUGGCUGGCCUUUAGUUGUCAUAUUAAAUCUGUAAAAUCAGGAAAGUGUUUCUUUCCACGCUGAGAACAUGUAGGAAGAGAUGCUCCAGAUAAAUGUUUAACUUAUCUUCCACCUCGUUUAAAUGUUGCAAAACCUUAUAUAAAUGUACCUCCAAAUACACUUCUAAUACUUGAAUGUAGAGGAGAAUAUGAUACCUAUUGGGAUAUUCCAAAGUAUCUUGAACCUGAUAUAAAAGAAAAUAACAUUAAAAUUACAUAUGGAAGACCUUCAUAUUCAGAAGCUACUAAACUUUCAAUUCAACAUUCGCCUGAGAGAACAGGUCUUUAUAUUUGUUAUUAUAAAAGUAGUAAUUCAAUACAUGGAAAAAAUGCAACAGCUGUAUACAUAUUCUUCAAUGGUAAGUUUAUAUAUCUAAAUAUACUUUCAUGAUUUUAUU
Molecule: long non-coding RNA, 742 nt
Filed under: Centruroides sculpturatus (bark scorpion)
Lineage: Eukaryota; Metazoa; Arthropoda; Arachnida; Scorpiones; Buthidae
Description: uncharacterized LOC111632323, transcript variant X2
Source: RNAcentral